GACGAACGCUGGCGGCGCGCCUAACACAUGCAAGUCGAACGGAGUUAUUUUCUUCACUCCGAGCUUUUUGCCAGUUAGCCGGAGCGGCAAUCGGUUUUGCCCAGCAUAAAAAGCAAAACCGAUUUAGGCUCAUAAAGUAAGGCUAACACAGAGGGCAGAGAGUUGGGAGUGAAGAAAAUAACUUAGUGGCGAACGGGUGAGUAACGCGUGAGUAACCUGCCCUGGAGUGGGGGACAACAGUUGGAAACGACUGCUAAUACCGCAUAAGCCCACGGCCCGGCAUCGGGCUGCGGGAAAAGGAUUUAUUCGCUUCAGGAUGGACUCGCGUCCAAUUAGCUAGUUGGUGAGGUAACGGCCCACCAAGGCGACGAUUGGUAGCCGGACUGAGAGGUUGAACGGCCACAUUGGGACUGAGACACGGCCCAGACUCCUACGGGAGGCAGCAGUGGGGGAUAUUGCACAAUGGGGGAAACCCUGAUGCAGCGACGCCGCGUGGAGGAAGAAGGUUUUCGGAUUGUAAACUCCUGUCGUUAGGGACGAUAAUGACGGUACCUAACAAGAAAGCACCGGCUAACUACGUGCCAGCAGCCGCGGUAAAACGUAGGGUGCAAGCGUUGUCCGGAAUUACUGGGUGUAAAGGGAGCGCAGGCGGACCGGCAAGUUGGAAGUGAAAACUAUGGGCUCAACCCAUAAAUUGCUUUCAAAACUGCUGGCCUUGAGUAGUGCAGAGGUAGGUGGAAUUCCCGGUGUAGCGGUGGAAUGCGUAGAUAUCGGGAGGAACACCAGUGGCGAAGGCGACCUACUGGGCACCAACUGACGCUGAGGCUCGAAAGCAUGGGUAGCAAACAGGAUUAGAUACCCUGGUAGUCCAUGCCGUAAAC
This 881-nucleotide ribosomal RNA is filed under the name uncultured bacterium. Its description in RNAcentral is "bacterial SSU rRNA". It matches the Rfam family "Bacterial small subunit ribosomal RNA", at positions 28 to 807 of the family's 1533-position model. The record is from RNAcentral.